This is a ribosomal RNA of 1001 nucleotides. It matches the Rfam family "Bacterial small subunit ribosomal RNA", at positions 56 to 1068 of the family's 1533-position model.
UGCAGUCGAACGAUGAAGCCCAGCUUGCUGGGUGGAUUAGUGGCGAACGGGUGAGUAACACGUGAGUAACCUGCCCUUAACUCUGGGAUAAGCCUGGGAAACUGGGUCUAAUACCGGAUAGGAGCGUCUACCGCAUGGUGGGUGUUGGAAAGAUUUAUCGGUUUUGGAUGGACUCGCGGCCUAUCAGCUUGUUGGUGAGGUAAUGGCUCACCAAGGCGACGACGGGUAGCCGGCCUGAGAGGGUGACCGGCCACACUGGGACUGAGACACGGCCCAGACUCCUACGGGAGGCAGCAGUGGGGAAUAUUGCACAAUGGGCGCAAGCCUGAUGCAGCGACGCCGCGUGAGGGAUGACGGCCUUCGGGUUGUAAACCUCUUUCAGUAGGGAAGAAGCGAAAGUGACGGUACCUGCAGAAGAAGCACCGGCUAACUACGUGCCAGCAGCCGCGGUAAUACGUAGGGUGCGAGCGUUAUCCGGAAUUAUUGGGCGUAAAGAGCUCGUAGGCGGUUUGUCACGUCUGUCGUGAAAGUCCGGGGCUUAACCCCGGAUCUGCGGUGGGUACGGGCAGACUAGAGUGCAGUAGGGGAGACUGGAAUUCCUGGUGUAGCGGUGGAAUGCGCAGAUAUCAGGAGGAACACCGAUGGCGAAGGCAGGUCUCUGGGCUGUAACUGACGCUGAGGAGCGAAAGCAUGGGGAGCGAACAGGAUUAGAUACCCUGGUAGUCCAUGCCGUAAACGUUGGGCACUAGGUGUGGGGACCAUUCCACGGUUUCCGCGCCGCAGCUAACGCAUUAAGUGCCCCGCCUGGGGAGUACGGCCGCAAGGCUAAAACUCAAAGGAAUUGACGGGGGCCCGCACAAGCGGCGGAGCAUGCGGAUUAAUUCGAUGCAACGCGAAGAACCUUACCAAGGCUUGACAUGUUCUCGAUCGCCGUAGAGAUACGGUUUCCCCUUUGGGGCGGGUUCCCAGGUGGUGCAUGGUUGUCCUCCACCUCGUGUCCU